AUUGAACGCUGGCGGCAUGCCUUACACAUGCAAGUCGAACGGCAGCGCGGGGGCAACCCUGGUGGCGAGUGGCGAACGGGUGAGUAAUGCAUCGGAACGUGCCCCGUAGCGGGGGAUAACCAGUCGAAAGACUGGCUAAUACCGCAUACGCUCCACGGAGGAAAGCAGGGGAUCGCAAGACCUUGCACUAUGGGAGCGGCCGAUCGCCCGAUUAGCUAGUUGGUGAGGUAAAGGCUCACCAAGGCGACGAUCGGUAGCUGGUUUGAGAGAACGACCAGCCACACUGGGACUGAGACACGGCCCAGACUCCUAC
Molecule: ribosomal RNA, 313 nt
Filed under: uncultured bacterium
Lineage: Bacteria
Description: bacterial SSU rRNA
Rfam family: Bacterial small subunit ribosomal RNA
Source: RNAcentral